RNA transcript from Cydia strobilella, 3928 nucleotides. It is a transcript of the gene named hrp65 protein-like, with no coding region annotated. The transcript has 14 exons. The record is from RefSeq and is a predicted model, not a curated record. NCBI's taxonomy places the organism in Eukaryota, Metazoa, Arthropoda, Insecta, Lepidoptera, Tortricidae.
ACUACAGCUCCGUUCCGUCGCUUCACCCGCCAUUUUGAUUUCUACUUUCGCGUGCAUUGCGUCACGGCGUUAGACUACCAUAUAAGUGACUUAAAUUAAGUGAAAAGACGUUUUAAAGUGUAAUAAACACAACAUAUUUUAAAUCCUAGGAAAUCAUAUGCAUGCCCAAGCCAUGAACCACUACGGUAAUCAAAGAGGUUUUGGAGGGCCGCCCCAGCCUCAGAGACAGGGCGGUCGCCGUGGAAAUAAUAGAGGUGGAUUUAGAGGACCCACACGUUUUGAUCAAAAUAAUCAAAAUCAGAGGAAUCAAAAUCAGCCGCAAGGAGGUCAACGCCCCAAUAACGAGCCUAAGCCAGCUCCCCAAGCUGAAAAGCCCCAGCAGCAGGCUCCACCACAGCAACAGCGUCCGCCGCAGCAGCAACAACAACCGCAACAGCAGCCUAGACCGCAGCAGACACCAGCGCAGCCGGCACCAGCUGCCACACCACAGAAGCAGGAUCCUCCGGCAGCAGCUCCACAGCAGCAGAAACCCGUCACCCCCAUCAAGCCUGCAGCUCAGGACAGUGUUGAUAAUGUGAUUGUCAUUGAUGAUCAGCCGCCGAAACCUGCCAACCUAAAUCAGCAGAAGAACAUGAAUGGAAACUUUGGAGGCAAUAAGCAAGGUGGCUGGCAGGGUGGAAACAAGCCAGGUGGCAACUUUAACCAAGGCGGCAACUUCCAACAAGGACCAAACGAGGGCCAGGGUGGAAACAAGCAAGGUGGCAACUUUAACCAAGGCGGAAACUUCCAACAAGGACCAAACCAGGGCCAGGGUGGAAACAAGCUAGGUGGCAACUUCCAACAAGGACCAAACCAGGGCCAGGGCGGAAACAAGCCAGGUGGCAACUUUAACCAAGGCGGCAACUUCCAGCAUGGACCAAACCAGGGCCAGGGCGGUAAAUUUGGUGGCAAUAAGAACUUCGGCCAGAACCAGGGCGGUCAAGGGGGACCUUUUGGGCAGAACAAGGGAGGCCCUGGUGGCCCGGGUGGCCCAGCUCGGAAUCAGCAGAGGCAAAGCAGAGGGCCCAUGCUGGAUAGUCAGGGAAAGCCAGUACAGAGAGAGGAACAAAUGCUCGCCAAUAAGUUGAAGGAUCUUGUGGGACCACUGGUCGACUUGGCACCCCUAGACCAGGCUGAACUUAAAUUCAAUGGCAGGAGCCGUCUGUACAUAGGCAAUUUCACGUCAGAUAUGACCGAAGAAGAAAUACUGGGCCUGUUCGCUCCCUACGGAGAGACUGCAGAAUUGUUCCUUAACAAGGAGAAGAACUUUGGAUUUAUUAAAGUGGACUACAGAGUAAACGCAGAGAAGGCCAAGCGCGAGUUGGACGGUAAAAUGCGUAACGGGCGAACAUUGAGAGUCAGAUUCGCGCCCCACAACAGCGCGGUGCGCGUCAAGAACCUGCCGCCGUUCGUGUCCAACGAGCUGCUGUACCGCGCCUUCGAGAUCUUCGGCAAGAUCGAGAGGGCCUACGUCAAGGUGGACGAGCGAGGGAAGUCCAUUGGUGAAGGCGUGGUGGAGUAUGCUAGGAAGCCCAGCGCUUUGGCUGCUAUUCGCAACUGCACUGAGCGAUGCUUCUUCUUGACCUCGUCGCUACGGCCAGUAAUUGUGGAAAGUUUUGAGGAACCCGAUGAGUUUGAUGGUUACCCAGAGAAAAACCUGCCCAAGAAGCACCCUGAUUUCCUGCGCGCCCGUGAGUACGGACCGCGCUUCUCCGAGGCCAACAGCUUCGAGCACGAGUACGGCACCAGGUGGAAGCAGCUGCACGAGCUGCACCGCCAGAAGGAGGAGGCCCUGAAGAAGGAGCUGGCUGCCGAGGAGGAAAAACUGGAGGCCCAGAUGGAGUACGCCAAAUACGAGCACGAGACCGAGCUGUUGCGCGAGCAGCUUCGCCAGCGCGAGCAGGACCGCGAGCGCCAGAAGCGGUCGUGGGAGCAGGCCGAGCGCGCCGCCGACGAGCGCCGCGAGCAGGAGCGCGCGCUGCUGCUGCGCCAGGAGGAAGACCUCACACAGCGCAUGCGCCACCAGGACGACGAGUUGCGCCGCCGCCAGCAGGAGAACACGCUCUUCGUGCAGGCCCAGCGACUCAACUCCAUGUUGGAUCGCCAGGAGCAAGGCAUGUUCGACCAACAGCAGCCUAUGGUAUCCGUAUUCAGCUAGAUGACGAGAUUAAUAGAAAAGGUUAGACGUGAACAAUCUUCGGUUUAAACAUUCGGGAUUGCAGUUACGCUCUGAAAUUGUUCAAGGAUGGACGGAGCUUGUGUGGACUGCGAGAAGAUCAAUGGAUAAAUAAUAUAAUAAAUGUACACAAAACUGAUUAAAGUAUAGCCCUUAAAGACGAUUUUAGUGAGCCUAGUCAGGUGCCAGUGGUCCAUGCGUCUUAAUUUAAAUAAAUUUAAACCAUUUAAACCUGUGCUUUUAUCCCAGUUCGGGCUACAGGCAAUAAUAUUAUAUAACUAUAGAUAAGUUACACUCUUACUUAGGGAGCACAAAACAUACUUCCAUAUUUAUUUCGUUACGAAUAAAUCGGUUUUUGUCGAUAAAUUUCCGCAUAAGCACCAUUCAUCUUUGUUACACUCGUUGUUAAAACAUAAGCUUAUCUCUUUCGGUGUGCGGGGAGCUUGUUAGCACGUGCACAGCUGUACAGUCGACGUCAGAUAUAUCGGAGCGGCCAAGGCGCUCACAAAUAUCUGUACACGCCUCUAUUGUCAAGCCGUUAGAGUGCGUGUUCAGAUAUUUGUGAGCACCUUGCCCGCUCUGAUAUAUCUGAUGGCGACUGUACCUUGCCUGGGCGCAUCUAAAGAGCAACAGUUCAAUUGUACAAUUUAAGUUCUUCAAUUUUGUAUCGCCUAUAACAUAAAUAACCUAUUUGGGGCCCAUUUCUCGAAUGAUAUUAGACUAAUAUUAUUAGUCCACGAACUGUUAAAUCCUAUGGGUUGUCAUGACAACACACUUAUAGAUAAGAUAAGAUAAAAUAAUAAUUUAUUUCAUUUCAAUCUUAGUUGGUAAAUACAUAGUGGUCGAGUCCCCCUAUUAGGUAUGAAGUACCUGUAUCGGGAGACCUCGCUCUUCCAGAAUUACAUUUUUUUUUUAAAUCUAUACUAAGAGAAGUAAAUAAAGUUAACAUUAACAUUAUAAAUUUAUAAUGAAACAUAAUAUUAGACUAUUAUCGUUCGAUAAAUGGGCCCCUGGAGUUAUAAUAUAAUUGUGUAGUUAUAAUAUCAGUGUCAGUGACGCAUGGACCACAGUUUGAAAGGUUAUAAGUACAGUUAGCUUAGUAAAUCGCCUCCAAAGUCUCAAACAAGUUCACUCUUUUCAAUAAGUUCGCAAUAAGGGUGAUAUAGCCGAAAUUGUUAACAAGAGUGGUGUAUUACUAUUUGUCCCCACCGGGCACAGAUGGGAAUAGGCGCCACAUAUCAAUCAUUCCCAUUUGUCGCGGCGUAUGUCGGCGGUCACGUGGGGCGGGGACAAAUGGGAAUACACCACAAGAGUCAAACAUAAACCUGACACAACAAGGCGAUGAAAUUGAUUAAAACUAAUCAGUAGUUAAAUUAAUUGUCUUUCAAUUUUAUUUUCAUAUAAAUUUUGCCUUCUCAUUAAUUAAUUAAUAUCACAUCCAUGUAGAUGUUGAAGAGACUAUAUUUUUGUAGUACAUUAAUUCGAAUUAUAACUGUAUACAGUUAGGAUAUCCGGUUGCUGUAUUAAUUUUAUGGUCAGGAGACUUGAUAUUAGUAAGUUAAGCAUUUCCAAUUAAAACAUUAAUAAUAAGUAGUAAAGAACACUUUGACUGAUUUUAUUAAGUUUGUUAAUAACAUUUAUUAUUGUGAUACGUUGAUAAUGCAACUGUGAUACUUGACUUUUUUCUUACUUCAUUACAAUUUUGAUAUGUCA